UACAGAGGGAUGCUACCGGGCGACCGGAUGCGGAUCUCGAAAGCCUGUCCCAGUUCGGACUGGAGUCUGCAACCCGACUCCACGAAGUUGGAUUCGCUAGUAAUCGCGCAUCAGCCAUGGCGCGGUGAAUACGUUCCCGGGCCUUGUACACACCGCCCGUCAAGCCAUGGGAGCCGGGGGCGCCUGAAGUCCGGGACCGCGAGGACCGGCCUAGGGCGAAACUGGUAACUGGGGCUAAGUCGUAACAAGGUACC
Molecule: ribosomal RNA, 254 nt
Filed under: uncultured bacterium
Lineage: Bacteria
Description: partial 16S ribosomal RNA
Rfam family: Bacterial small subunit ribosomal RNA
Source: RNAcentral